AGAUUGAACGCUGGCGGCAGGCCUAACACAUGCAAGUCGAGCGGCAGCACGGGUACUUGUACCUGGUGGCGAGCGGCGGACGGGUGAGUAAUGCCUAGGAAUCUGCCUGGUAGUGGGGGAUAACGCUCGGAAACGGACGCUAAUACCGCAUACGUCCUACGGGAGAAAGCAGGGGACCUUCGGGCCUUGCGCUUAUCAGAUGAGCCUAGGUCGGAUUAGCUAGUUGGUGGGGUAAUGGCUCACCAAGGCGACGAUCCGUAACUGGUCUGAGAGGAUGAUCAGUCACACUGG
This 291-nucleotide ribosomal RNA is filed under the name uncultured soil bacterium. RNAcentral's name for it is "partial 16S ribosomal RNA". It matches the Rfam family "Bacterial small subunit ribosomal RNA", at positions 26 to 316 of the family's 1533-position model. The record is from RNAcentral.